Molecule: long non-coding RNA, 409 nt
Organism: Mercenaria mercenaria
Lineage: Eukaryota; Metazoa; Mollusca; Bivalvia; Venerida; Veneridae
Exons: 3
Source: RefSeq, a predicted model, not a curated record
AGAGAAUUGCCUCUGCUGAAACAAAGCAAAAACAAGAUUUUCACAAUGCUGAAAGUUGUCAUUCUUCUGCUCGCAAUCGCAACCGUAACAUCGGCUUUAUUUAGUCAAUGUAACCAGGAUGCAAAGGAGUAUAAUGUCAACUGUCCUAAUGCACUCAAGCAAGAAAUUUGGACGUACAACAGAAAAAAGGAAAAAUGUGUAAAGAAAAAGGGCUGCUAUUCCAACGAUGGCAAGAAUGUCUUUAAUACCGAAGCUAGCUGUAUCUUGGGCUGUGGCAUUAAGUCAUAAAAUGUAUCAUUUGAUAUGCUUCUUGGUCCAACAUAUAAAUUCUUAACUUGUCUUCUUACAUAUGUAUCGGAAUGAAAAGUAAGGAAUUGACACGUUUGGCAAAUAAAGCUUAUGUCUCUUA